This 253-nucleotide ribosomal RNA is filed under the name uncultured bacterium. Its description in RNAcentral is "partial 16S ribosomal RNA". It matches the Rfam family "Bacterial small subunit ribosomal RNA", at positions 524 to 776 of the family's 1533-position model. The record is from RNAcentral.
UACAGAGGGUGCAAGCGUUAUCCGGAUUCACUGGGUUUAAAGGGUGCGUAGGUGGGUUGAUAAGUCAGUGGUGAAAUCCCCGAGCUUAACUUGGGAACUGCCAUUGAUACUAUUGAUCUUGAAUACCGUGGAGGUCAGCGGAAUAUGUCAUGUAGCGGUGAAAUGCUUAGAUAUGACAUAGAACACCAAUUGCGAAGGCAGCUGGCUACGCGAAUAUUGACACUGAUGCACGAAAGCGUGGGGAUCAAACAGG